UACGUAGGUCCCGAGCGUUGUCCGGAUUUAUUGGGCGUAAAGCGAGCGCAGGUGGUUUAUUAAGUCAGGUGUAAAAGGCAGUGACUCAACCAUUGUAUGCAUUGGAAACUGGUAGACUUGAGUGCAGGAGAGGAGAGUGGAAUUCCAUGUGUAGCGGUGAAAUGCGUAGAUAUAUGGAGGAACACCGGUGGCGAAAGCGGCUCUCUGGCCUGUAACUGACACUGAGGCUCGAAAGCGUGGGGAGCAAACAGG
Molecule: ribosomal RNA, 252 nt
Filed under: uncultured bacterium
Lineage: Bacteria
Description: partial 16S ribosomal RNA
Rfam family: Bacterial small subunit ribosomal RNA
Source: RNAcentral